GUCGAUCUGGUCCAACGGUUAGGGCACCCUGCUACUCUGGGGGGAUGCUUGGUUCAAUUCCAGCGGUCGACA
This 72-nucleotide transfer RNA is filed under the name Mycosphaerella sp. Ston1. RNAcentral's name for it is "tRNA-Val (TAC) (tRNA-Val-TAC-4-1)". The record is from RNAcentral. Lineage: Eukaryota; Fungi; Ascomycota; Dothideomycetes; Mycosphaerellales; Mycosphaerellaceae.